AAAAGAUAUUUCAAUGGCAGAGAUAAAUGGGAUGGUGUGCCCUCAAAGGCUGUGCUUCUCCACUGGCCAUAAAAGGAGCUUUGGUAACUAGCUCAGGUUUAGCUUGCAGUGGAACUUCCUGUGGGAACAGGUCAUUUCAAGGCAGAAAUUCAAGUACCUUGGAGCAAUCACUGGUUUUGAAGAGACUGCUUCUAUCAUUUAUGGUGGAAAGGACAAGUUUAAGAAGGACAAACCCCUUCAAGCUGUUCUUCAACACAGAAAUUGAAGUCACGAAGAUUUAUCUUUGUAAUCCCUGCCUCCACUUUGCUUGCCUGCCUCGUUGGGAUGUAGGCUGCCUGCUUUCUCAGUGUUCAGCACAGCUCCCACUGCCUACAGUUUGCAGUGGCACUUCUACAAAUUACACUCCUCCGUACCAAGCACCACGAAAAACAGAAUUAACAACCACUGUGCGAAGGGACUCGUAUCACACAGGAAAUCUGUGGCAAAGACAGGGAUAUGACUUGGUUCCGCAGAGCUGCACUCAUGCCUUAAUCAUGAAAACAUGUUCUCCUCUCUGCAGUUGUCUGCUUCAUUCACUGUCCUUCCAACAGCUGCAGGAGUACAGGUUGUACAGAGCACAUUCCCUGUUCCUGUGCCGGGAUUCGUCCUCCAGCACCGGUUCUUUCUGUGCGCUACACAACACGGGAGGCCACGGAAAACUCCCUCUGCCCAAAGGGAUCUCACAGUUCCCUCUGCCCCACCACCAGCACAAUCCACCAGAGCCCUGGUCCUUUUUUCUGCCUCUUAUGCCACCAUGAGAGUUGGGUGCAUGGGAGCGAUGGGAUUCCCGAUCCAAUUCCUGCAUGUAAUCAGGCCCGGCUGCAGCUGCAGUGAGCGGCAGGAUCAGGGAAAACUAUUUUGAACGCCAGUAGCCCCAGGGCUGGAGCAUGCCCAGAUGUUUCAUGGAAUGGCUCUGGCAGACCAGUCGCACACAGGUGUUUAUUGGCUUGAAGUAAAAGUCAGGAAUACCAGGAAUAAUUCAUCCACCACUUGGCUCUUCAAACAGAAGAGGAACGAGCACAACGUGCAAAUCGAAAGGGCAGAUAGCGGCGGCUCUGAGCUGACACACACACGCACGCUUCACCCACGGAGCUGCUUGCAGGAUGAACUUCUGAUUUUCCUGGAACAAACUCAUUUUAGUUAUGAAAACUGAUUAUGCAUAUUGUGAAAGGCAUGCAGCCAAGCAACUGUAAAACUCUGUUUUUCACUAAUAUCUAUCAUUUUUAGGAACAAAACAUGCUGCCGCUAAAUGCAAGCACAAGUCUGCUUGGAAAUGUGAUUUGCAGUUUACUUUCUCUUCAUGUUUAAAAGCUAUUCCAAAUCAAAACAGACCUAACCAGAUCAGAAGUAGCAUUGUGUACUUAGCUUAAAUACACUGAUUUUCACACUAAAAUUACUUUAAGGAACAAAGACUUGCUGUUUGUGGCAAAAAUCAAAGGAGAAAUGCAAGAAGCUUUUCCGGAGAGGUUCGCUACUCCGCUCAGCCUCUCCGUGACCUGGGCUCUGCACGAUUUAUUGGUUGUCUUUAAUAAAGCCAAAUCCAAGCACCUUCUCUGUUUUGUUACUUCCAUUUUAACACCAGCAGUAGCAGACAGACAGACAAAGUUUAGUUUUAGCCUGGGAGCUAAAAGAAAUACUUCUAACAUACAUAUGUGCUGUUACAGUCUGACUUAUAAAUGCUCAGUAGUAAAGUCAGCAGGAAUUGAGCACUAAAACUGGAGAAGAGUAAAUGGAAAGAGAUCCUGCUGUAUUUGCAGACUUGUGGUAAUAAGGAAAGCACUCCUGACUGCUCUUGGAAACUUGUCAUGUAAGUGAAUAAGGGGAGAGGUCAGGCAGUGACAGACUGCUCUGCCAGCCUGAAAUGGGGGGUUGCAUCAAACCAAAAAAACCCAAAACAUGCAUUUAACUUAAAAUGAAUGUUAUUAAAACAAAUUAUACCCAUCAUUCAGAAAUGUAAUCUGAAAGCCCCGUAACUCCUGGCUUCUGUUCAGAUGAUGUCUGGCUGUGUAUCAUCCACAAAGUAUCUUCCUGAAUCCCCAGCACCCUGGCUUCAGGAACCGCUCUAAAUCAUACCAAGUUCUGAUGAUUCUGAUGUCAUUUUCUAAGCUUUAAGUAUUCUUGCAAGUGACAUCAAUCAUGACUCAACCUGGCCUCUCCUGACAUUAUGACAAAGGCUCCUAUUUUUAAAUUUUCAGACAAAUACAGCUUGUAUAACUUUAUUUUUUUGCCAAAGAUAUGUCAGUUCGAAUCUCGCUAUUCCAAGCAUAUUCUGUUCUUUUGGGAUACUUGUCAGCUGGCCUAUUUAUAUCAGGUUUGUAAGAAAUUAAAUGUUUUUCUAGAAGCAAAAUAGCAGACUUGGAGAACAGAGCUUCCACCUUGCAUUAUUAAUAGAAUUUGUGAAAAUCUGUGGUUAUAUUGUCAAGAAGCAUAGAGACUAAUUGCACAGAGCCAACAAUUCACUCAGCGUGGUGGUUAAAAUGCAUAAAUGGAUAAAAAUGAUUUGUAUUAGUGCCUGCAGUCUCUUGUAAAUGUCAAAUACUUUCUUGACAUUCUAAAACCCAGGCUGUACAGCAAAAGUGGGAGAGUAGCAUUUUGUAUUA
Molecule: long non-coding RNA, 2639 nt
Organism: Zonotrichia leucophrys gambelii
Lineage: Eukaryota; Metazoa; Chordata; Aves; Passeriformes; Passerellidae
Exons: 3
Source: RefSeq, a predicted model, not a curated record